GAUGACGAGGCACUACGGUGCUGAAGCAACAAAUGCCCUGCUUCCAGGAAAAGCCUCUAAGCAUCAGGUAACAUCAAAUCGUACCCCAAACCGACACAGGUGGUCAGGUAGAGAAUACCAAGGCGCUUGAGAGAACUCGGGUGAAGGAACUAGGCAAAAUGGUGCCGUAACUUCGGGAGAAGGCACGCUGACACGUAGGUGAAGUGAUUUACUCAUGGAGCUGAAGUCAGUCGAAGAUACCAGCUGGCUGCAACUGUUUAUUAAAAACACAGCACUGUGCAAACACGAAAGUGGACGUAUACGGUGUGACGCCUGCCCGGUGCCGGAAGGUUAAUUGAUGGGGUCAGCGCAAGCGAAGCUCCUGAUCGAAGCCCCGGUAAACGGCGGCCGUAACUAUAACGGUCCUAAGGUAGCGAAAUUCCUUGUCGGGUAAGUUCCGACCUGCACGAAUGGCGUAAUGAUGGCCAGGCUGUCUCCACCCGAGACUCAGUGAAAUUGAACUCGCUGUGAAGAUGCAGUGUACCCGCGGCAAGACGGAAAGACCCCGUGAACCUUUACUAUAGCUUGACACUGAACAUUGAGCCUUGAUGUGUAGGAUAGGUGGGAGGCUUUGAAGUGUGGACGCCAGUCUGCAUGGAGCCGACCUUGAAAUACCACCCUUUAAUGUUUGAUGUUCUAACGUGGACCCGUAAUCCGGGUUGCGGACAGUGUCUGGUGGGUAGUUUGACUGGGGCGGUCUCCUCCUAAAGAGUAACGGAGGAGCACGAAGGUUGGCUAAUCCUGGUCGGACAUCAGGAGGUUAGUGCAAUGGCAUAAGCCAGCUUGACUGCGAGCGUGACGGCGCGAGCAGGUGCGAAAGCAGGUCAUAGUGAUCCGGUGGUUCUGAAUGGAAGGGCCAUCGCUCAACGGAUAAAAGGUACUCCGGGGAUAACAGGCUGAUACCGCCCAAGAGUUCAUAUCGACGGCGGUGUUUGGCACCUCGAUGUCGGCUCAUCACAUCCUGGGGCUGAAGUAGGUCCCAAGGGUAUGGCUGUUCGCCAUUUAAAGUGGUACGCGAGCUGGGUUUAGAACGUCGUGAGACAGUUCGGUCCCUAUCUGCCGUGGGCGCUGGAGAACUGAGGGGGGCUGCUCCUAGUACGAGAGGACCGGAGUGGACGCAUCACUGGUGUUCGGGUUGUCAUGCCAAUGGCACUGCCCGGUAGCUAAAUGCGGAAGAGAUAAGUGCUGAAAGCAUCUAAGCACGAAACUUGCCCCGAGAUGAGUUCUCCCUGAGACUUAGAGUCUCCUGAAGGAACGUUGAAGACGACGACGUUGAUAGGCCGGGUGUGUAAGCGCAGCGAUGCGUUGAGCUAACCGGUACUAAUGAACCGUGAGGCUUAACCUUACAACGCCGAAG
This 1396-nucleotide ribosomal RNA is filed under the name Salmonella enterica subsp. enterica. RNAcentral describes it as "partial 23S ribosomal RNA". It matches the Rfam family "Bacterial large subunit ribosomal RNA", at positions 1565 to 2925 of the family's 2925-position model. The record is from RNAcentral. Lineage: Bacteria; Pseudomonadati; Pseudomonadota; Gammaproteobacteria; Enterobacterales; Enterobacteriaceae. RNAcentral also lists the same sequence under 1 other name.